Molecule: long non-coding RNA, 363 nt
Organism: Zerene cesonia (dogface butterfly)
Lineage: Eukaryota; Metazoa; Arthropoda; Insecta; Lepidoptera; Pieridae
Exons: 2
Source: RefSeq, a predicted model, not a curated record
ACCCUUGGCAUGCCUGGUAGGGUCUGUCAGACCCACACCAACGCGCAAACCGUUGUAGUUCAUUUAAAUUUGAAUUUCGAGCCUCACCGUUUUUAGUAGCUGGCCGUUACUAACCGCGGAAUGCCCUCCACCCGCUUCCUCAGCCCGCGGUCUGCUAUCAGCGUAAAAAGACUUGCGUAAAGUGCCUCCGGGUCCCAUAGACCCCACCAGGCAUACGGCGUGACUUUAUUUUUUUAAUCAUGAAUAAACAACUAACAGACGAGAACAUAGCAAGUUUAUUAUUCCAAGAGUUGGAUGUUGAAGACUUAGCUGCAUUUGAUUCAAGUGGAGAAGAGUUUGACGAAGAUGCUACGUUUGUCCCGC